Molecule: ribosomal RNA, 492 nt
Filed under: uncultured bacterium
Lineage: Bacteria
Description: partial 16S ribosomal RNA
Rfam family: Bacterial small subunit ribosomal RNA
Source: RNAcentral
AGUGAACGCUGGCGGUAGGCCUAACACAUGCAAGUCGAACGGCAGCACAGUAAGAGCUUGCUCUUACGGGUGGCGAGUGGCGGACGGGUGAGGAAUACAUCGGAAUCUACUUUUUCGUGGGGGAUAACGUAGGGAAACUUACGCUAAUACCGCAUACGACCUACGGGUGAAAGCAGGGGAUCUUCGGACCUUGCGCGAUUGAAUGAGUCGAUGUCGGAUUAGCUAGUUGGCGGGGUAAAGGCCCACCAAGGCGACGAUCCGUAGCUGGUCUGAGAGGAUGAUCAGCCACACUGGAACUGAGACACGGUCCAGACUCCUACGGGAGGCAGCAGUGGGGAAUAUUGGACAAUGGGCGCAAGCCUGAUCCAGCCAUGCCGCGUGGGUGAAGAAGGCCUUCGGGUUGUAAAGCCCUUUUGUUGGGAAAGAAAAGCAGCAGGUUAAUACCCCGCUGUUCUGACGGUACCCAAAGAAUAAGCACCGGCUAACUUCGUG